GUAUCUGUUCAUCCCUNGACGGUAUCUAACCAGAAAGCCACGGCCACGGCUAACUACGUGCCAGCAGCCGCGGUAAUACGUAGGUGGCAAGCGUUGUCCGGAUUUAUUGGGCGUAAAGCGAGCGCAGGCGGUUUCUUAAGUCUGAUGUGAAAGCCCCCGGCUCAACCGGGGAGGGUCAUUGGAAACUGGGAGACUUGAGUGCAGAAGAGGAGA
RNAcentral lists this ribosomal RNA (213 nucleotides) under Enterococcus sp. UepopsR187.206. Its description in RNAcentral is "partial 16S ribosomal RNA". It matches the Rfam family "Bacterial small subunit ribosomal RNA", at positions 454 to 660 of the family's 1533-position model. The record is from RNAcentral. Lineage: Bacteria; Bacillati; Bacillota; Bacilli; Lactobacillales; Enterococcaceae.